Molecule: ribosomal RNA, 439 nt
Filed under: uncultured bacterium
Lineage: Bacteria
Description: partial 16S ribosomal RNA
Rfam family: Bacterial small subunit ribosomal RNA
Source: RNAcentral
CUACGGGUUGCUCCAGUGAGGAGUAUUGCACAAUGGGGGGAACCCUGAUGCAGCAACGCCGCGUGGAGGAUGACGCAUUUCGGUGUGUAAACUCCUUUUAUAUGUCAAGAAAAUGACGGUAGCAUAUGAAUAAGCACCGGCUAACUCCGUGCCAGCAGCCGCGGUAAUACGGAGGGUGCAAGCGUUACUCGGAAUCACUGGGCGUAAAGGACGCGUAGGCGGGUUGGAAAGUCAGGUGUGAAAUCCUACAGCUUAACUGUAGAACUGCACUUGAAACUUCUAAUCUAGAGUAUGGGAGGGGGAGAUGGAAUUAGUGGUGUAGGGGUAACAUCCGUAGAUAUCACUAGGAAUACCUAAAGCGAAGGCGAUCUCCUGGAACAUUACUGACACUAAGGCGUGAAAGCGUGGGGAGCAAACAGGAUUAGAUACCCUAGUAGUC